AACGCACGAGACCUGCGGACCUGCGGAGGGAUCAUUACAGAACAGGCACACCGUGUCGUGGCUCUGCCAACCCCGCGAACCUUAUACCUUGAUGUUGCCUCGGCGGGCCUCCCGUCGCAGGCCUAGCAAACAAAAACGCUCCGAUAAGCUCAGCGCUCCUUCUGAACUAUAAAACUUUUAAAACGAGUAAAAACUUUUAGCAACGGAUCUCU
This 212-nucleotide unclassified non-coding RNA is filed under the name soil metagenome. Its description in RNAcentral is "partial contains 5.8S ribosomal RNA, internal transcribed spacer 2, and large subunit ribosomal RNA". The record is from RNAcentral.